UUUACGCGCCUGAAGCGUUGCCAAUUGAGAACUCCACUGGAAACGGUUCGGACCGCGAUAGAUAAACGACAAACUCCCAGUUUACUACUAAUUUAGCGAUAAAAGGGAGUUGCAAGGAAUAUGUUCGUGACGAUUGAAUAGCAUAAAUCGUGGCUGCUGAUACUUGCAUACACUG
This is a non-coding RNA of Drosophila subobscura, 175 nucleotides long. NCBI's taxonomy places the organism in Eukaryota, Metazoa, Arthropoda, Insecta, Diptera, Drosophilidae. The record is from RefSeq and is a predicted model, not a curated record.